Molecule: non-coding RNA, 45 nt
Organism: Schistosoma margrebowiei
Lineage: Eukaryota; Metazoa; Platyhelminthes; Trematoda; Strigeidida; Schistosomatidae
Source: Rfam
AUCCAGCUGAUGAGUCCCAAAUAGGAUGAAACACGCGUCCUCGAU